Molecule: long non-coding RNA, 89 nt
Organism: Alosa sapidissima (American shad)
Lineage: Eukaryota; Metazoa; Chordata; Actinopteri; Clupeiformes; Clupeidae
Exons: 3
Source: RefSeq, a predicted model, not a curated record
UGGGCCUAUUGGGGUCAAGUAGGAAGCCCAGCAAGUUCCAAAAGUAGAAAAAAAGUUUUGCGAGAUCCCGCAAAACUUUGCAAGAUCCC